This 410-nucleotide ribosomal RNA is filed under the name uncultured bacterium. RNAcentral's name for it is "bacterial SSU rRNA". It matches the Rfam family "Bacterial small subunit ribosomal RNA", at positions 917 to 1322 of the family's 1533-position model. The record is from RNAcentral.
GGGCUCACACAAGCGGUGGAGGAUGUGGCUUAAUUCGAGGCUACGCGAAGAACCUUAUCCUAGAUUUGACAUGCUUGAGAAUCCCUAUGAAAGUAGAGAGUGCUCUUCGGAGAGCUCUUGCACAGGUGCUGCAUGGCUGUCGUCAGCUCGUGUCGUGAGAUGUCGGGUUAAGUCCCUUAACGAGCGAAACCCUUAUCUCUAGUUGCCAGCGGGUAAUGCCGGGGACUCUAGAGAGACUGCCGGUGUCAAACCGGAGGAAGGUGGGGAUGACGUCAAGUCCUCAUGGCCUUUAUGUCUAGGGCUGCACACGUCCUACAAUGGCACGGACAAACGGACGCAAUACCGCGAGGUGGAGCAAAUCCUAGAAACCGUGCCCCAGUUCGGAUUGCAGGCUGCAACUCGCCUGCAUG